GAUGAACGCUAGCUACAGGCUUAACACAUGCGAGUCGAGGGGAAACGGCAUUGAGUGCUUGCACUCUUUGGACGUCGACCGGCGCACGGGUGAGUAACGCGUAUCCAACCUUCCCAUUACUGUGGGAUAACCUGCCGAAAGGCAGACUAAUACCGCAUAGUCUUCGAUGACGGCAUCAGAUUUGAAGUAAAGAUUUAUCGGUAAUGGAUGGGGAUGCGUCUGAUUAGCUUGUUGGCGGGGUAACGGCCCACCAAGGCUACGAUCAGUAGGGGUUCUGAGAGGAGGGUCCCCCACAUUGGAACUGAGACACGGUCCAAACUCCUACGGGAGGCAGCAGUGAGGAAUAUUGGUCAAUGGACGGAAGUCUGAACCAGCCAAGUAGCGUGCAGGAUGACGGCCCUAUGGGUUGUAAACUGCUUUUGUAUGGGGAUAAAGUUAGGGACGUGUCCCUAUUUGCAGGUACCAUACGAAUAAGGACCGGCUAAUUCCGUG
Molecule: ribosomal RNA, 492 nt
Filed under: uncultured bacterium
Lineage: Bacteria
Description: partial 16S ribosomal RNA
Rfam family: Bacterial small subunit ribosomal RNA
Source: RNAcentral